This 468-nucleotide ribosomal RNA is filed under the name uncultured bacterium. RNAcentral's name for it is "partial 16S ribosomal RNA". It matches the Rfam family "Bacterial small subunit ribosomal RNA", at positions 28 to 507 of the family's 1533-position model. The record is from RNAcentral.
GAUGAACGCUGGCGGCGUGCUUAAUACAUGCAAGUCGAACGGACAGGCGCUGAUUUUGUUGCUUGCUCGUGUGGCGAACGCGUGUGUAACACGCGUGUAUCCUGCCCUUGUCAUUCGGAUAACUUCACGAAACUGGGGCUAAUAUCGCGUAUAAGCUCUUGCUGCAUGGUGGGGGUUGGAAAGAUUCGGCGGUUUUGGAUGGACUCGCGGCUUAUCCGCUUGUUGGGGGGGUAGUGGCGUACCAAGUUUAUGACGGAUAGCCGGCCUGAGAGGGGGACCGGGGUCAAGAGGACUGAGAGACGGACCAGUAGCCUACGGGAGGCAGCAGGGGGGAACAUGACAGAACGGGCGGGAGCCAGAGACGACGACGUCGCGAGCGGGAUAACGGCCUUCGGGGUGAAAACAGCUGUCGCAUGAGACGAAGCGUGAGUGACGGUAAUGAGUAAAGAAGCACCGGCUAACUACGUG